Molecule: long non-coding RNA, 414 nt
Organism: Oncorhynchus tshawytscha (Chinook salmon)
Lineage: Eukaryota; Metazoa; Chordata; Actinopteri; Salmoniformes; Salmonidae
Source: Ensembl
GUUGAGUCUGUGGAGAGGGAUAACGAGAGAGAGAGGCAGGUUUUCUGUUGAGUCUGUGGAGAGGGAUAACGAGAGAGAGAGGCAGGUUUUCUGUUGAGUCUGUGGAGAGGGAUAACGAGAGAAAGAGGCAGGUUUUCUGUUGAGUCUGUGGAGAGGCAUAACGAGAGAGAGGCAGGUUUUCUGUGGAGAGGCAUAAUGAGAGAGAGGCAGGUUUUCUGUGGAGAGGCAUAAUGAGAGAGAGGCAGGUUUUCUGUGGAGAGGCAUAACGAGAGAGAGGCAGGUUUUCUGUGGAGAGGCAUAACGAGAGAGAGAGGCAGGUUUUCUGUGGAGAGGCAUAACGAGAGAGAGGCAGGUUUUCUGUGGAGAGGCAUAACGAGAGAGAGGCAGGUUUUCUGUGGAGAGGCAUAACGAGAG